RNAcentral lists this ribosomal RNA (497 nucleotides) under uncultured bacterium. Its description in RNAcentral is "partial 16S ribosomal RNA". It matches the Rfam family "Bacterial small subunit ribosomal RNA", at positions 28 to 507 of the family's 1533-position model. The record is from RNAcentral.
GAUGAACGCUGGCGGCGUGCCUAAUACAUGCAAGUCGAGCGAACGGACGAGAAGCUUGCUUCUCUGCUGUUAGCGGCGGACGGGUGAGUAACACGUGCAUAACCUACCUAUAAGACUGGGAUAACUUCGGGAAACCGUAGCUAAUACCGGAUAAUAUUUUGAACCGCAUGGUUCAAAAGUGAAAGACGGUCUUGCUGUCACUUAUAGAUGGAUCCGCGCUGCAUUAGCUAGUUGGUAAGGUAACGGCUUACCAAGGCAACGAUGCAUAGCCGACCUGAGAGGGUGAUCGGCCACACUGGAACUGAGACACGGUCCAGACUCCUACGGGAGGCAGCAGUAGGGAAUCUUCCGCAAUGGGCGAAAGCCUGACGGAGCAACGCCGCGUGAGUGAUGAAGGUCUUCGGAUCGUAAAACUCUGUUAUUAGGGAAGAACAGAUGUGUAAGUAACUGUGCACAUCUUGACGGUACCUAAUCAGAAAGCCACGGCUAACUACGUG